Molecule: ribosomal RNA, 478 nt
Filed under: uncultured bacterium
Lineage: Bacteria
Description: bacterial SSU rRNA
Rfam family: Bacterial small subunit ribosomal RNA
Source: RNAcentral
GGCGGCAUGCUUACACAUGCAAGUCGAACGGCAGCAUGGGAGCUUGCUCCUGAUGGCGAGUGGCGGACGGGUGAGUAAAACAUCGGAACGUGCCUUAUAGUGGGGGAUAACGAGUUGAAAGAUUUGCUAAUACCGCAUGAAAGUCUGAGGAUAAAAGCUGGGGAUCAGAAAUGACCUGGCGCUAUGAGAGCGGCCGAUGGCCGAUUAGCUAGUUGGUGAGGUAAAGGCUUACCAAGGCGAUGAUCGGUAGCUGUUCUGAGAGGAAGAUCAGCCACACUGGGACUGAGACGCGGUCCAGACUCCUACGGGAGGCAGCAGUGGGGAAUUUUGGACAAUGGGGGCAACCCUGAUCCAGCCAUGCCGCGUGAGUGAAGAAGGCCUUCGGGUUGUAAAGCUCUUUCGGCCGGGAGGAAAUCGCAUCAGUUAAUACCUGGUGUGGAUGACAGUACCGGAAUAAGAAGCACCGGCUAACUACGUG